RNAcentral lists this transfer RNA (74 nucleotides) under Planctomycetota bacterium. RNAcentral describes it as "tRNA-Gln". It matches the Rfam family "tRNA". Rfam says of the family: Transfer RNA (tRNA) molecules are approximately 80 nucleotides in length. Their secondary structure includes four short double-helical elements and three loops (D, anti-codon, and T loops). Lineage: Bacteria; Pseudomonadati; Planctomycetota. The record is from RNAcentral.
UGCCCGGUGGUGUAACGGUAGCACCGGAGACUUUGGAUCUCCUUGUCGUGGUUCGAAUCCACGCCGGGCAGCCA